Lepisosteus oculatus (spotted gar) is the source of this 2374-nucleotide long non-coding RNA. The record is from Ensembl. Lineage: Eukaryota; Metazoa; Chordata; Actinopteri; Semionotiformes; Lepisosteidae.
GCCAGUUGUGCCUUAUUAAUUGAGUCACCCCCUAGUGGGACUCUCAGCACGUGACUGGAGCUGUCAGGCUACAGACAGAGGAGUAAUUGACUUAAAUGAGGCGCAAUUCCUCAUCACAUGUUGCUUGGAAUGUGGGACUGGCCUGCCCGGGCAGUAGCCGGCUGCUUACAGUGUAUUCCUUUGAAAGAGAACUGCGUGUCCAGCACAAGGCGAGAGCUCUAUGACCUGGAGAUUGCAGACCGAGUCUAUGAGCACAUGCAGUAAGGCUGCAGACGUCUGGUACUGCAGCCCCGAGCUGAGGGCCUAUUGUGAGGAUCAUGGUCUGCACUGGGGGCAGAGGGGGAUGGGGUGGAGGCCAGACAUGCCAGGUCUUACGAGUGGACAUUUCCCCUCCGUGCCCGCCUGUGUGCGGAGAGCCCGUCUGGGGUUCCCUUCACCAGGGUGCUCUGCUCGCAGUGGGGCAGGGGCUGGAGAGCUGUGAGAAAGCACUGGGAGCGUCACAACCAGAGAACUGCCCAGCACUCCCCUCAGCCUCACACGCUGGCCACAAUGAAGCCAUCCUCUCCAUUCAUCAAGGACUCACAACAGAUCCCCAUCUCUUUAUAUCUCCAUUACUCCUGUCCCUCCUUUACAGGAACAGCAUUUCCCCUGCUUUUUGUCUUUCUUUUCCAGCCUGCGAGGAAGUGGUGAACACGCUCGGCGCCCUGUUUAGGGUUCUCUUCUCUUAUCUUUGCAGUAAAGAUUUUGACAUGAACCACCUGGUUCUUCAAGAUUGCCAUGCAAAGCGAGGGCAAUUUGUGCUCAAAGAGAAGAAUAACCAGAUCACAGCUGGCAGUUUACCGACAAGAUUGCACUGCUACCAAGCACAGCGGAUAUACUGUAUAGAUUCAACUGCAGACAAUUUUCAGGUGCAAGCUUUUUAAAAAAAAAGAUAUUGAAAAUGUCAUAACUAAAAUGCCAAAUGUGCUGCAAGCAUGCACAAUUUCAGGUAGUGAAUGCUAAAAUAAACAGAAAAGCAACAAAAAGGUUUAUGUAUGAUAAAUUGCAGGGAAGCACAAUAAAGUGUUGGCGCAUAAUUAAAACAAUGAUUUAUAGUUGCAGGGAAUAUCCUAGUUCACACUUUAUUAAUGAAGAUAUGUAAAGCAAUGAAAAAAGUUAAUUAAAAGCAAAUUAAUGUCCCCAACUAAAAUCUGCUUUUGCAUAAAAACACUUAUUGGCAAAAUGUUUUACUGUUUAUUUCUGCUUGCUCACCACUCAUUAAAUACAGUUAAACAGGGAAUGUAUAAGUUAGACAUUUCCAGUUUCUAGCAGUUAGGUAUCAUUGUAGAAUAGCGUGCAGAAACAGCAUUAGUUUUCUUUGUCUUUAAACUUUCUUAUCAACAUUUAUCAAAUAAAUUUAUUGUGUUAAGGCUCUCUCAGAGCAAAUAUGCAAUGUCAAUGUUUGUUAAUUUUGAGAAUGUAAGUACAAGAGACUAGCUGCAACCAAUAAUAACUCCUUAAAGUCAAAAUCAAGAUAUGAUGUAGUGCUUCUCUGUCCUGAAUCCACCAUCCAGCUUUCCAAAGUUUUCCAAAUGAACCCUGUUGUCCACCAUUAAGAUCAGCUCAAGUCAUUUAAAUAGACAUUUCUUUCCCCGCAGUGGCUUAUGAAAACAGAUACUGGGAACAAGGAGAGUGGAGUGCACACCCUUGCCAAGCAGUAAUCACUUAGUGCUCUCAUUGGGAGGUUCUGUCAUUGUUAGUAUCCGUGUCCCGAAACCAGCAAUAUCUAAUAUCACACCUACUAUCUGUCCACGUGUAUUUCUGAAUGAGAGAAAACUGCAUGCUCACUUUGUUAUGUAGACAAGGGACCUGGCCAUUUGCUAUAUCAACAAUGGCAGCACCACUGACGAAUUACUCGUCACCAACCAUGCCUGUUGCCAAUGCCAGCCCAGUGGUUGCUAAGCAUCUGGGUCUGGCUUCCUGUUCAGGCCCUUACAAUCUGCCUGGCAGCUGCUCCAAUUACCAGACAGUGCGUCUUUUAAUGGGUGCCUUCUGAUAAAGGGAGGAAGGCUGCCUCUCUCUUCAUUUCUCCCUCACUGUCUGUGUUUCAGUGACCAGAAUCUGUAAGAACUCCUCCUUGCCUCGCUCAGCUGCUCCAGGCCCUGUGUCAGCUAAACAGAUCCUUUGUUUUUGGAAAAAAAAAGAUACAAUGAGAAGGCAGACUUUGUCCGUCCCCUCGCCACCCCGCCCCUCCUCCUCCUCCUCCUCCUUUUUCCUGGCAGAUGGCUAAUGUUUGAUGAACAGAGCAGGUAGUGGAUCGGCAUGGGUGCCAGGGUAAUGUUACUGUGAACGUGCAAGAAUGGUCCAUGCACAUGCAUUUGUGUGUAUGAGUCUG